RNAcentral lists this non-coding RNA (31 nucleotides) under Homo sapiens (human). Lineage: Eukaryota; Metazoa; Chordata; Mammalia; Primates; Hominidae. The record is from RNAcentral.
UCUCAGGCAGAGUCAAGUGCUUCUUCUCCUA